This 773-nucleotide ribosomal RNA is filed under the name uncultured Bacteroidota bacterium. Its description in RNAcentral is "bacterial SSU rRNA". It matches the Rfam family "Bacterial small subunit ribosomal RNA", at positions 66 to 845 of the family's 1533-position model. The record is from RNAcentral. Lineage: Bacteria; Pseudomonadati; Bacteroidota.
GGGGUAUAGUUCUUCGGAAUUAGAGACCGGCGCACGGGUGCGUAACGCGUAUGCAAUCUACCUUUUACAGAGGGAUAGCCCAGAGAAAUUUGGAUUAAUACCUCAUAGUAUGUGAGAAUGGCAUCAUUUUCACAUUAAAGUUACAACGGUAAAAGAUGAGCAUGCGUCCCAUUAGCUAGUUGGUAAGGUAACGGCUUACCAAGGCUACGAUGGGUAGGGGUCCUGAGAGGGAGAUCCCCCACACUGGUACUGAGACACGGACCAGACUCCUACGGGAGGCAGCAGUGAGGAAUAUUGGACAAUGGGCGCAAGCCUGAUCCAGCCAUGCCGCGUGCAGGAUGACGGUCCUAUGGAUUGUAAACUGCUUUUGCACAGGAAGAAACAACAUUACGUGUAAUGUCUUGACGGUACUGUGAGAAUAAGGAUCGGCUAACUCCGUGCCAGCAGCCGCGGUAAUACGGAGGAUCCAAGCGUUAUCCGGAAUCAUUGGGUUUAAAGGGCCCGUAGGCGGUUUGGUAAGUCAGUGGUGAAAGCCCAUCGCUCAACGGUGGAACGGCCAUUGAUACUGCCAGACUUGAAUUAUUAGGAAGUAACUAGAAUAUGUAGUGUAGCGGUGAAAUGCUUAGAGAUUACAUGGAAUACCAAUUGCGAAGGCAGGUUACUACUAAUGGAUUGACGCUGAUGGACGAAAGCGUGGGUAGCGAACAGGAUUAGAUACCCUGGUAGUCCACGCCGUAAACGAUGGAUACUAGCUGUUGGGAGCGAUCUCAGUG